GUGAUGGACAAGCCUCCACAUGAUAAGGGGGGCCUUCAGGAUCAAAACCAACUUUCCCACAGAGUACUCAUUCAAACCACCAAAGAUCACAUUUAAAACAAAGACCUAUCACCUGAACAUUGAUGAAAAGGGGAAGGUCUGUUUGCCAGUAAUUAGUGCUGAAAACUAGAAGCUGGCAACCAAAACCAACUAAGUAAUCCAGUCAGUCUUUCAUAGCACUGAUGAUCUAUCCUCAGCCCAAGCAUCCCCUUUGGCCUGACUUACCUGAAGAAUACUCUAAGGAUCAUAAAAAAUUCUGUAAGAAUGCUGGAGAGUUUACAAAGCAAUACAGUCAAAAGCGACUUGCAGACUAA
Molecule: long non-coding RNA, 353 nt
Filed under: Homo sapiens (human)
Lineage: Eukaryota; Metazoa; Chordata; Mammalia; Primates; Hominidae
Description: non-protein coding lnc-ADGRL3-10:1
Source: RNAcentral